GAUCAAACGUCGUGGGGUCUUUCAUCCAGACUGCGUUUUCAUUAUUCGCUGAAACAUACAGGUUUUAAUUUUUACGAGGCUAAGGCCACGGCCGCCUCACCUCGGUUUUUGCCGCCACCCAGAGGAACUACGUGCGCCCCAACGGUCGCCCGGAUGUAGGCGUAGGGUGGAGCCGUAAGAGAUUGACUAGCCAGUUGAUUUGGUUGGCGCAGGCUCAGAAACGCCGUGACGCCGCCCUUUCCCCCAACACGUGAUGAAAGUCGGGGUGACGAAGGGCCGGCUUUGCGCAGGUGCACAGUACUCGCUAUGGCCCAUGCGUCACGUGACGAGGGCGUGACUGUGACACUGUGGAGGGGCGCCUACUAGGCAGGCGCUCUCAGCUGUCUCCCCGGUUUCCACUGAAGGAUGGUCCCCGGCUGCAGGCCUGGCUGCGGCACAUGGGCCGUGAGCACUGGGUGCCCAGCUGCCACCAGCACUUGUGCAGCGAGCACUUCACACCCUCCUGCUUCCAGUGGCGCUGGGGUGUGCGCUACCUGCGGCCUGAUGCAGUGCCCUCCAUCUUCUCCC
RNAcentral lists this small RNA (567 nucleotides) under Pongo abelii (Sumatran orangutan). Its description in RNAcentral is "processed transcript". Lineage: Eukaryota; Metazoa; Chordata; Mammalia; Primates; Hominidae. The record is from RNAcentral.